This 382-nucleotide ribosomal RNA is filed under the name uncultured eukaryote. RNAcentral's name for it is "SSU rRNA". It matches the Rfam family "Eukaryotic small subunit ribosomal RNA", at positions 587 to 972 of the family's 1831-position model. The record is from RNAcentral.
AGCUCCAAUAGCGUUUAUUAAAGUUCUUGCAGUUAAAAAACUUGUGCUUGGAUUUCUGGCUGGGUAUAUGGGUCCACUCAUAUGAGUGUACUCCAUACAUGUCUGACCAUUCUUUGGGAGAGUCGAAGUGACAUUAAGUUGUUGAUGUGGGAAUCCCAAUCCUUUACUAUGAAGAAAUUAUAGUUUUCAAAGCAGGCUUACACCGUUGAAUAUAUUAGCUUGGAAUAAUAAAAUAGGAUUAUUGUACUAUUUUGUUAGUUUUUGCACCAUAGAACUGAUUAAUAGGGACAGUUGGGGGUAUUUGUAUUCCAUUGUCAGGGAUGGAAUUCUUUGAUUUUUGGAAGAUAAACUACUGCAAAAGCAUUUACCAAAGAUUUUUUCA